UCUCAAGGGAAAAAUGCUCAAAACACUGCCGUACUGCUUAAAUCAGCGAAACAUUUCCCACAGCUCCCCGUCGCCAUUUCUGCUUUGGUUGCGUGGUGCUUGCAAACACAACAAAAUAGUGAUGAUGAACAGCUCGGUACCUGUCUGGGAUGCUCAGUUUGCCGCUUUCUUCAAAAUCCGACAAUGCUUAAUAUAUUCCAAGGGCGCAGGACAGAUGAAGAUCAUAAAGACGCGAAAGCGAAGAAGAAAGAAGCCAGCCCAGCCUACAGGCUCACAGCUGGAAGGCGCUUCUGCUCUGCCCUGGGCCUUUCUUGGAGGAGUCAGUGAUAACUUGCAGUAACUCAUGUUCCUGAUUCCAUAAGGCAUUUUCUUGGCACUUGCUAGUGCAACACAAUAAACCAUGGGAAUAUUAGUGGAGUUCCUCCUUCUGUUGGUACGCCAAGGGGGACUGGAGCUCCACCACACUGUAAUUUGCCAUGUCAUGGAUGUUAAUGUCAUUACAUCCUGAAGUUGAUGAAGCCAUUUGUGCUGUCUUAAUUAUAAAGGGCUAUGUCACUGUUAAUGUAAUCUAAUCUCAGUGGACAGCACUCAUCUUCAACCCAGUGUUAUGAUUAUAUUGAACCGCUGUAGUUUAAAGAGUAUACUUGGAUAACUGAAUAAGAAUAGAAAAUAUAGAUAAAAGGAGUAGUAACUACUUAAAUGUGCACAAUCAUUGAUCAUCACAACCAAAAUAAAAUGUAUUUAGCCUAGAUAAGUUCAUGGAAUGUAUUGUAUUACUCAUGCAUUUCACUAUAGAGCAUAAAAAGCCUUAAUUCAGAAAGUGCUGACAGUUUCAGUUUGCAAUGCAUUACAGUACAUGUAAUAUAGAUGUGAAUACAAUGUGCAUUUAUCAUUUAUUAAUUCAUGGAAUAGAAUCUGUGCAAUGCUCUGCUAUAUUGUUUGCAAUGCAAUUAUUGAUUCAAACCUUAGAUUUGUAGGUUUCAUAUCAUCUUUUCAUUUCACGAGUGUUUUAUGGACUCCGCUAUGUGAUUUCAUUCUAAAAGAGAAUGAGUUUCAUGAAAAGAAAUGUUGGGUCAGGGUUAUUAUUCAAGGCUCAGAGUGAGUAUGAACCUUAAAACAAUUGUCUUCUUUUACAUAGUUAUAUUGGGUAGAAUUUGGGUGUUUUACUUAAGUUUAAACAGGCAUUGGGACUGUUUGACAUCAGUCUGAUAAACUGUGAUGACCUAACUGAUGAUGUGUGUGUUUUAAUGUCCACUUAACUCAGUUAAAAGAACAAAUUGCAUGUUUGUAUACUCUAGAAUGCAAAUGUCAAUUAGUUAAACUAGAUUUUUUUAAAAAUGUAUCAUCAUUUGACUAUAAGAUG
This is a long non-coding RNA of Cyprinus carpio carpio, 1363 nucleotides long. Lineage: Eukaryota; Metazoa; Chordata; Actinopteri; Cypriniformes; Cyprinidae. The record is from Ensembl.